GGACCCUUAGCUCAUUUGGUUAGAGCAACAGACUCAUAAUCUGUGGGUACUCGGUUCGAUCCCGAGAGGGUCCA
RNAcentral lists this transfer RNA (74 nucleotides) under Chitinophagaceae bacterium. RNAcentral's name for it is "tRNA-Ile". It matches the Rfam family "tRNA". Rfam says of the family: Transfer RNA (tRNA) molecules are approximately 80 nucleotides in length. RNAcentral also lists the same sequence under 2 other names. The record is from RNAcentral. Lineage: Bacteria; Pseudomonadati; Bacteroidota; Chitinophagia; Chitinophagales; Chitinophagaceae.